CUUAGAUUUCAGCUCCUUUCAGGGUCAUUGCCCUCUUGGAAUCAGGAUCAAGGUGGGCAGAGCCUAUGGUUGGGCCACAGUACACUCUAGGAGAGGCAGUUUGGAUUACUUUAGCACAAGGGACUUUCCAAAACCAAAGUUAUUAGGAAAAGCAGAAAGGAGAAUGGUUGGAAAAAAUGCUGUUAACACCUGAUCCACACGUUCUUUCCUCCCUGUGCUGCUCAUAAUCACUUACAGACGCUGAGAAAAGCCUGUUAAAAUCUGUUACUAUGACUUUAGACAUUCAUUUCUCCUGAUUGUUAUAAAAUAGAGAACAAGCCUCCACCUCCAUCACUGAUACUCCUUCUUUUGAUGAACCACAAGGAGAUUGGCAUUCUGGUUGUGAGCCCUGCCCAUCACAGGAGAUCUGGCAACCAAAAAACAGGACUGUUCUUGAGAAAAUGCAAUGCAGAGAUCAGAAUGCCACACUCAUGUAACUCAGAUGUGCCAUACAGAUGUGAGGCGACUGGACUUAAAAUAGGAGCAGUUUUCUCUGCAGCCCGGACAACUAUUUCCACCCGAAGGAGAGAACUGAGCAGGAGAUCCUCACCUCACUCCGGUAUAUGGGAUUUGGAGUCAGCCACGGUCACAGUUUGAACCCUUGCUACACCAUUUUGAGACUGUGGGCCUUGGAGAAUCUGUUUCCUCUUCUGUAAAAUGGGGUGACAAUUUCUACCUAGCUUGGGGUACAGUAAGAUUAAAUAAUGCAUGUAAGAUGCCUGGCACCUGGCGGGGAUCCAGUUCAUCUAGGACCUUCCCCGCCCCUUCCCCUCACUUGUGUGGCAAGAAUGAUCUUGGGCAUCCUGAAAUCAUUCUACCCCAAACUGUCUCCCCCAGGCAGGAGUUUGUUUUGGUUCCUUGAAAUCGGCCAUUAUUCAAUUCCUCUGCCAGGGCCCAUGUUAGCCUGAGACCAGCUGGAAAUUUUUUGCCUCUCAGGAAGUCAAGAAUCUGUUAAAAAGGAAAGCGCAGAGACUCCUCUGUGGUCCCCGAAGGGCGCGACCCUCGCCUUCCGCCUUCUCAAAGCAUGUCAUUCGCGUCACUACCCACCCAGGCCACAAG
RNAcentral lists this long non-coding RNA (1098 nucleotides) under Callithrix jacchus (white-tufted-ear marmoset). Its description in RNAcentral is "lncRNA (ENSCJAG00000070309.1)". Lineage: Eukaryota; Metazoa; Chordata; Mammalia; Primates; Cebidae. The record is from RNAcentral.